CAUGCAAGUCGUACGCUUCUUUUUCCACCGGAGCUUGCUCCACCGGAAAAAGAAGAGUGGCGAACGGGUGAGUAACACGUGGGUAACCUGCCCAUCAGAAGGGGAUAACACUUGGAAACAGGUGCUAAUACCGUAUAACAAUCGAAACCGCAUGGUUUUGAUUUGAAAGGCGCUUUCGGGUGUCGCUGAUGGAUGGACCCGCGGUGCAUUAGCUAGUUGGUGAGGUAACGGCUCACCAAGGCCACGAUGCAUAGCCGACCUGAGAGGGUGAUCGGCCACAUUGGGACUGAGACACGGCCCAAACUCCUACGGGAGGCAGCAGUAGGGAAUCUUCGGCAAUGGACGAAAGUCUGACCGAGCAACGCCGCGUGAGUGAAGAAGGUUUUCGGAUCGUAAAACUCUGUUGUUAGAGAAGAACAAGGAUGAGAGUAACUGUUCAUCCCUUGACGGUAUCUAACCAGAAAGCCACGGCUAACUACGUGCCAGCAGCCGCGGUAAUACGUAGGUGGCAAGCGUUGUCCGGAUUUAUUGGGCGUAAAGCGAGCGCAGGC
Molecule: ribosomal RNA, 551 nt
Filed under: Enterococcus durans
Lineage: Bacteria; Bacillati; Bacillota; Bacilli; Lactobacillales; Enterococcaceae
Description: bacterial SSU rRNA
Rfam family: Bacterial small subunit ribosomal RNA
Source: RNAcentral